RNAcentral lists this long non-coding RNA (314 nucleotides) under Mytilus galloprovincialis (Mediterranean mussel). The record is from RNAcentral. Lineage: Eukaryota; Metazoa; Mollusca; Bivalvia; Mytilida; Mytilidae.
CGCUUCAUUCCUCUUUACUUGGGAAACGUAUCUUUAAGCGUACACCAUGUUGGAAUCCGUGAAAAACGCGAAAUAGGACGUUAUAACUUGACGUUUUUUCAUUGCUAGAAACAACGUCAUAGAGCUUUAAUGUCACUACCAAGUUGCGUUAGUUGAUGCGCAUAAACAAUAGGCUGUUUGGUAUUUAAAGCCGUUAUUGUAACGGAAAGAUGACUUUGUCAGGUGUACUUUCUGGAACUGUGAUCAGAUGAUUUAAACCUAUUUAAACUGUUAAUUUUCUCCAUGACAGCCUAUGUGUACAUUUUGCAAUUAAG